This is a long non-coding RNA of Zea mays, 752 nucleotides long. RefSeq lists it as uncharacterized. The record is from RefSeq and is a predicted model, not a curated record. The transcript has 3 exons. NCBI's taxonomy places the organism in Eukaryota, Viridiplantae, Streptophyta, Magnoliopsida, Poales, Poaceae.
CCUAAGUGAGUACACUGUCAUGGCAUAAGAGGUACAUGGGCCAGAUUACGAUCUGAGGACCGAAGACAUCGACGGAUAUGUCCUCAUGAGGGUUGGAGAAGGCAAGAGGAAUGGACGGUACUGGAUUACCGACGGGGCAAUCGACUCGUCGUCCACUCUCACUCUAUCUCAGGUGCGAGCAAGGAGCAUGAGCUCGAGCCUAGCCAUACGACAUCGGCAGGACAGCUCACAUCAUCGCAUACAGCAACUCCAGGCGCAACUAGAAGAAGAAAGGAGGGAACAGCAAGGGAUGGAGACGAGGAUGAUAGCGGAGCGGGAGGCCCACUAGACAGAUCAGUAGAGGAUGGCUGAGAUAAUCUAGUACAUGCAGAGCCUUGCCGCCGUACCUGGUUUUACUCCACCACCUCCGUUGUUCCCUCCAGUUGACCCUACUCAGCUCCAUAUUCCUGGACAAUCUGGGGCGGCAUCCAACAACCCUCAUGGAUUGCCCAGCCCAUCGCCGCACCAGUCCAGCUGUCCACCUCGCUGAUGAUCUUCUCUUAGCAUAGUGGUGAUUAUGAGACUUGUGUGAUAAACUUGUCCUGAACUUAUGUUUGAGAGUUGGUAAUACUUAUGUUGGUGAAACUUAGUAUGAACAUAGACAUGUUUGCGAAAAACUUGUGAGAUUUGUGGUUUUUGUGAAAUAUGUGGUCUCUAUUAUGUAUAUGAUGAUUAUGUGAUAUAUGUGAUGUAUAUGUGAUGAUUAUGUGAUA